This 65-nucleotide ribosomal RNA is filed under the name Macrophomina phaseolina. RNAcentral describes it as "partial 28S ribosomal RNA". The record is from RNAcentral. Lineage: Eukaryota; Fungi; Ascomycota; Dothideomycetes; Botryosphaeriales; Botryosphaeriaceae.
AGGUGGACCGGGGAGGAGACACGGUUAACCUAUGAACUUAUUAUAACGAGAGAGAAAAGGGAAUU